GAUGAACGCUGGCGGCGUGCCUAAUACAUGCAAGUCGAGCGAACGGACGAGAAGCUUGCUUCUCUGAUGUUAGCGGCGGACGGGUGAGUAACACGUGGAUAACCUACCUAUAAGACUGGGAUAACUUCGGGAAACCGGAGCUAAUACCGGAUGAUAUUUUGAACCGCAUGGUUCAAAAGUGAAAGACGGUCUUGCUGUCACUUAUAGAUGGAUCCGCGCUGCAUUAGCUAGUUGGUAAGGUAACGGCUUACCAAGGCAACGAUGCAUAGCCGACCUGAGAGGGUGAUCGGCCACACUGGAACUGAGACACGGUCCAGACUCCUACGGGAGGCAGCAGUAGGGAAUCUUCCGCAAUGGGCGAAAGCCUGACGGAGCAACGCCGCGUGAGUGAUGAAGGUCUUCGGAUCGUAAAACUCUGUUAUUAGGGAAGAACAUAUGUGUAAGUAACUGUGCACAUCGUGACGGUACCUAAUCAGAAAGCCACGGCUAACUACG
This 495-nucleotide ribosomal RNA is filed under the name uncultured bacterium. Its description in RNAcentral is "partial 16S ribosomal RNA". It matches the Rfam family "Bacterial small subunit ribosomal RNA", at positions 28 to 505 of the family's 1533-position model. The record is from RNAcentral.